RNAcentral lists this ribosomal RNA (301 nucleotides) under uncultured bacterium. RNAcentral describes it as "partial 16S ribosomal RNA". It matches the Rfam family "Bacterial small subunit ribosomal RNA", at positions 509 to 807 of the family's 1533-position model. The record is from RNAcentral.
CAGUAGCCGCGGGAAUACGUAGGUGGCAAGCGUCGUCCGGAAUUAUUGGGCGUAAAGGGCUCGCAGGCGGUUUCUUAAGUCUGAUGUGAAAGCCCCCGGCUCAACCGGGGAGGGUCAUUGGAAACUGGGAAACUUGAGUGCAGAAGAGGAGAGUGGAAUUCCACGUGUAGCGGUGAAAUGCGUAGAGAUGUGGAGGAACACCAGUGGCGAAGGCGACUCUCUGGUCUGUAACUGACGCUGAGGAGCGAAAGCGUGGGGAGCGAACAGGAUUAGAUACCCCAGUAGUCCCUGUCUCUUAUAC